GGUGUUGUGGCUCAGUGGUAGAGCAUUCACCUAGCAUGUGUGAGGUACUGGGUUCGAUCCUCAGCACCA
RNAcentral lists this transfer RNA (69 nucleotides) under Ictidomys tridecemlineatus (thirteen-lined ground squirrel). RNAcentral describes it as "Spermophilus tridecemlineatus (thirteen-lined ground squirrel) tRNA". It matches the Rfam family "tRNA". Rfam says of the family: Transfer RNA (tRNA) molecules are approximately 80 nucleotides in length. Their secondary structure includes four short double-helical elements and three loops (D, anti-codon, and T loops). Lineage: Eukaryota; Metazoa; Chordata; Mammalia; Rodentia; Sciuridae. The record is from Rfam by way of RNAcentral.